This 329-nucleotide unclassified non-coding RNA is filed under the name soil metagenome. RNAcentral's name for it is "partial contains 5.8S ribosomal RNA, internal transcribed spacer 2, and large subunit ribosomal RNA". The stretch from base 1 to 120 matches the Rfam family "5.8S ribosomal RNA", at positions 35 to 154 of the family's 154-position model. The record is from RNAcentral.
GAUGAAGAACGCAGCGAAAUGCGAUAAGUAAUGUGAAUUGCAGAAUUCAGUGAAUCAUCGAAUCUUUGAACGCACAUUGCGCCCCCUGGUAUUCCGGGGGGCAUGCCUGUCCGAGCGUCAUUACAACCCUCAAGCUCAGCUUGGUGUUGGGCCCCGUCGCCCCGGCGGGCCCUAAAGUCAGUGGCGGUGCCGUCCGGCUCCGAGCGUAGUAAUUCUUCUCGCUCUGGAGGUCCGGUCGUGUGCUCGCCAGCAACCCCCAAUUUUUUUCAGGUUGACCUCGGAUCAGGUAGGGAUACCCGCUGAACUUAAGCAUAUCAAUAAGCGGAGGA